This 1185-nucleotide ribosomal RNA is filed under the name uncultured Chloroflexota bacterium. RNAcentral describes it as "bacterial SSU rRNA". It matches the Rfam family "Bacterial small subunit ribosomal RNA", at positions 347 to 1501 of the family's 1533-position model. The record is from RNAcentral. Lineage: Bacteria; Bacillati; Chloroflexota.
AGCAGCCAAAGGGAAUAGUUGGACAAUGGGCGCAAGCCUGAUCCAGCAACGCCGCGUGGAGGAAGAAGGCUUCGGCUUGUAAACUCCUUAUGUGUGAGGGUAUGAGACAAGGACAGUACCUCACGNAUAAGUCACGGCAACUAGGUGCCAGCAGCCCCGGNAACACCUAGGCUGACAAGCGUUAUCCGGAUUUACUCGGGCGUGAAACGGGCUCGAAGGCGGCAGUCUCCAAGUCCGGCGUGAAAUCUCCGUGGCAUUAACCACGGAGGGGUCGUACGGAUCACUGUCUACAUAGCCUAGAGGCAGCUGAGAGGCGCGUAGCGGAAUCUCCUCGGCUGGAGCUGGUGGAAUACGUAGAUAUCGAGAGGAACACCAGUGGCGAAAGCGGCGCCCCUGGCACGUGACCUGACGCUUCAUGAGCGAAAGCGAUGGGGAGCGACACGGGACUUAGAUAGCCCCGGCUACGAUCCAGACGCUGUAACAACGACUGAGUACUAAGGAUGUACGGCGACACACCGUGGUCCUGUGCGCGAAGCUAACCGCGAUAAGUACUCCGACCUGGGGACUACGGCGCAAGGCUAAAACUCAAAGGAAUUGACGGGGACCCGCAACAAGCAGCGGAGCGUGUUGUUAAUUCGAUGUAACGCGAAGAACCUUACCUGGGUUUGACAUGUCGCGUAGUAGUGAAGCGAAAGCCGAACGACCCUUCGGCGGAGCGUACACAGGUGUUGCAUGGCAGUCGUCAGCUCGUGUCGUGAGAUGUUGGGUUAAAUCCCGCAACGAGCGCAACCCUCGUCGUUAGUUACAAGUGUCUAGCGAGACUGCCGGUUAUACAUCGGAGGAAGGUGAGGACGAUGUCAAGUCAGCAUGACCCUUAUAUCCAGGGCUACUAACACGCUACAAUGGGCCGUACAAUGGGCAGCCAAAGAGCGAUGCUGGAGCAAAUCCCACCAAAACGGUUCGUAGUGUCGGAGUUGGAGGCUGCAACUCGCCUCCAUGAAGUCGGAGUUGCUAGUAAACGCAGGCUCAGCCACUACUGCGUUGAAUACCGCUUCCCGGGUUUUGUACACACCGCCCGUCAAGUCAUGGAAGUUGGUAACGCCUGAAGCCGGUGACCUAACCGCAAGGAUAGGACGCUGUCGAGGGUGGGACUGAUGACUGGGACUAAGUCGUAACAAGGUAGCC